UCCUGUUGUAACCUCCCGCCUUCUGGUGGGGUUACUGAUUCCAAGCUCUGUAAUACAAGACUAAAAAGUUGCUUCAAUGCAAAAUUAUGAAAUGUAUGCCCGCAUUAUACUGGUGGGCGACCUAGAGCUGAAAGUAUUCCCGCAUUUUACUGGUGGGCGACCUAGAACAUGAAUGUAUUCCCGCAUUUUACUGGUGGACGACCUAGAACUGAAAUGUAUUCCCGCAUUUUACUGGUGGGCGACCUAGAACUGAAAUGUAUUCCCGCAUUUUACUGGUGGGCGACCUAGAACAGAAAGUAUUCCCGCAUUUUACUGGUGGGCGACCUAGAACUGAAAUGUAUUCCCGCAUUUUACUGGUGGGCGACCUAGAACAGAAAGUAUUCCCGCAUUUUACUGGUGGGCGACCUAGAACUUAAAAGUAUUCCCGCAUUUUACUGGUGGGCGACCUAGAACUGAAAUGUAUUCCCGCAUUUUACUGGUGGGCGACCUAGAACAGAAAGUAUUCCCGCAUUAUACUGGUGG
Molecule: long non-coding RNA, 522 nt
Filed under: Nicotiana tabacum (common tobacco)
Lineage: Eukaryota; Viridiplantae; Streptophyta; Magnoliopsida; Solanales; Solanaceae
Description: long non-coding RNA (NTAB_LNC002537)
Source: RNAcentral